UGGUUAGGCAAAGCCAUGCUGCAUUGCCCUUGCCUCUGACCUCUCUACCUCCAUAAUUAAUAUUUAUAUUUAUAUUUAUAUUUAUAUAUACAUACAUGUUUGGGGCACCAUCACCCCACACUCGCGUGUCUUAGGGUGUGCAUGCCGGGCUCUUGUCCCUCUCCUCUCACUUGCCCACAUUUGCUUCCCCUUCAUCCCCUCAUUUUAUGGCUUCUUAAUUUGAUUUUUGUUUUGUUUUACCAACAAUGGCCAUGAUUCCUUCUUAAUCUGCAACUGCGCUGCAAGACAGAUAGUUUGAAACCUUUGAGACUGUUCCUCUUUCAUUUUUUUUUCCUUAUCGUUUGUAGUUUUAAAUUUGGUCAUGUUUGUCCUAUUAGGUGAAAGGCUCAAGGUUGGGAAAGGGUCAGGGAUUUGAGAAUAAAAUACCAGCUAUGCUUGUUGCAUGGUGGUGGUGAUAGAGAUUCCAACUAUUGUCUUUAGUCAGAUAUGUGUGUUGUGUUCUAUCAUUGUUUUCAAUAACAGUUUGCUCUAAUCCCUAAUGACUUGAUUAAACGAUCUAUUUGUAAGAUACCAGGAUUCAUUUAUGACUUUGUUCAGCUUCGGUAUUGCUCUGCUCCCCAUGAAUUGAUGCUGGAAAAGGAUGUGAAAGCAAUGUAAUGUUAUUCCACCAAAAACCUGACCAUUUAUACAGCGGUUGACUUGAAAGGGGCAAACAGGGUCAGGGUGAUGGUGAUGGGGAGGUUGGUGGUGUUGGUGCUACAUCCAUUGGAUGAGCACUGGUUUCAAAUUAGGCAGAAAUUGCGUGUGGCAGGUGCUUGCCAAGGUACACAAUGAGUUUAACAAUUUACCAUGCGCAAGCAGCAGAUCAUGAGACCGGAAGAGUUAAGCAGGGAUGGUGGCAGGAUAGAACCAAACUCUUGGCAUUUGUCUUCACGAUACUCUACAUUACUAUGCUUUUCCAAUUUUCAUGGGCUUGCUUUCAGACCAUGUAACCUCAUUGCAAAGUACUGUCCUAAUCAGCCAUGUCUGAGGAAAUGCACUUCGUGCAUUACCUAGGUGAAAGAAAGAAAAGAUUACUGGUCUUGGAAAUGGCAUCCCUUUUCACAAUUGCCCAAAGCAUUCGGUGUUAAUUAUCCCAGAAAGUAUGAUUGGCACUUAGUCUUUCUCUUAUCUUAAUUUCUACUAGGAGUACUAUUUUUAUUUCUAUUUUUUUUCUCUGAAAUAUGCCAGCGUAUUUUAUUAAAUGCUAUGAACUUUUUUAAUCAAA
Theobroma umbraticum is the source of this 1267-nucleotide long non-coding RNA. RefSeq lists it as uncharacterized. Lineage: Eukaryota; Viridiplantae; Streptophyta; Magnoliopsida; Malvales; Malvaceae. The record is from RefSeq and is a predicted model, not a curated record.